Molecule: ribosomal RNA, 253 nt
Filed under: uncultured bacterium
Lineage: Bacteria
Description: partial 16S ribosomal RNA
Rfam family: Bacterial small subunit ribosomal RNA
Source: RNAcentral
UACAGAGGUCCCGAGCGUUGUUCGGAUUCAUUGGGCGUAAAGGGUGCGUAGGCGGCGGGGCAAGUCUGAUGUGAAAUCCUGGGGCUCAACCCCAGAACUGCAUUGGAUACUGCCUUGCUAGAGUACUGGAGAGGGAACUGGAAUUUACGGUGUAGCAGUGAAAUGCGUAGAUAUCGUAAGGAAGACCAGUGGCGAAGGCGGGUCUCUGGACAGUUCCUGACGCUGAGGCACGAAGGUCAGGGGAGCAAACGGG